UUGACCUCAAAUCAGGUAGGACUACCCGCUGAACUUAAGCAUAUCAAUAAGCGGAGGAAAAGAAACUAACAAGGAUUCCCCUAGUAACUGCGAGUGAAGCGGGAAAAGCUCAAAUUUAAAAUCUGGCGGUCUUUGGCUGUCCGAGUUGUAAUCUAGAGAAGUGCUAUCCGCGCUGGACCGUGAAAAAUUUCUCUGAA
Molecule: ribosomal RNA, 197 nt
Filed under: Collybia mongolica
Lineage: Eukaryota; Fungi; Basidiomycota; Agaricomycetes; Agaricales; Clitocybaceae
Description: Leucocalocybe mongolica partial 28S ribosomal RNA
Rfam family: Eukaryotic large subunit ribosomal RNA
Source: RNAcentral